AAACUCAAAGGUAAUGGUAUAAAGCUGGAAUAAAAACUACAGGGUGUCCCAAAAAUGUUGUUACACCUUGAAAGGGGUGGUUCGGGAGGUGAUUUAAAACAACUUUUUCCUUAGCGAAAAUGUUGUCCGAGACUUCGUUAAGCAGAUAUUAACAAAAAACCCCGACCAAUCAGAGCGCGCGUAUACCGUUGGAGCAGCCGCGGUAGCGUAUGAGCGCAGCCGCCAAGCGCGUCGUAGGGUACGCUCAACCGGCAUACUCGCGCUCUGAUUAGUCGAGGUUUUCGCUUAAUAUCUCCUUACUGAAACCUCGGACAACAUUUUCGCUAAGGAAAAAGUUGUUUGAAAUUAGUGGUUGUCCUGAACCACCCUUUUCAAGGUGUUAUAACAUCUAUCUAUCUAUUUUAAAUAUUUCCGCGCGAACUGCGUUUGAAAUCGCCGCUUCUGAUUGGCCCACGCGAUUCAGGCAUUACCAAUGAAAUUCAAAGCUUGCGCUGUAGUCGUCCAGUCAAUCCAGUUGCUCGUGGAUCCACGUGGACGUGGAUCAAAACAUGCGAAAUUGAAGUUUUGAAAGUACCUUUUCGAGGAUAGUUUUGACUUGAUAUUAUGAACAAUUUUAAAGUGUAACAAAGUGCUUAAAAAUGAAUUAUGACAUAUCUAAUCUAACGGGAGUUCUGCGAUCUGUGUUUGGUUAUGAAAACUUCAAAAAUGACGUUCAGAAAGAAGCAACUAUCGCGAUCAGCACAGGUUCAGAGUAUGUGUGCAUAUCUAUGCCUCCUGGGUUCGGUAGAAAUCUUUGCUUUCAGUUACCAGUCAUUUCACAACAGGGCAAAGUCGGUGUAGUUUUUUCACCAAAGUUAUCUUUGAUGAAGAAACAUGUAGAUUUUUUAAGAGGCAAACACAUCAAUGCACGUUUAUUAAACAAGAGCUUAUUCGCUAACGAACGGAAAGCAAUUUUAAAAGACUUAACAUCGGAUACUCCUACAAUCGUAUUGUUGUAUUGCUCGCUUGAAAUAGUUAUGUGUCCAUAUUUUAAGAGUCUCAUGUUUUCAUUAAAAGAACGUAAAGUAUUGUCUUAUAUUGUGUUCGACGAAGCGCAUUGUUUAAGCAAAUGGGGAUAUGAAUAUAAACCUUCAUACAAAAAAAUAAGUGUAUUACAUGGUAUAUGUAUGGGUGUUCCUACAGUUUGGGUGACUACAACCGUUACAGACAUGGUGAUCGAAGACAUUUGCAAACUGUUGACACUGAAAGUUCCAAGAAUAUUUAGAAUACCGGUGCAACAAAUCAAUGUACAUCACGAUGUAUGGUUUGUAGACACACUUUCUAAUCCGUUAGAGCAUCUUAAAAGUUUUGUGAUAGAAGCACUUGGCUUCUUACAUUCGUCUACUCACAAGAUACAUACAGGUCUUGCCAUUGUUUACUGUAGAGAGGAAGUCACAGCAGAGUUAAUAAAAAACAAGUUAAACGCUUUUGGUAUACCCACUGUUACAUGUCACCACAAACAAAAUAAUAGCACACGACGUAAUGUAGAAAAUAUGUGGAUAUCUGGAGAAGCUACUGUUAUUACUACUACGUAUGAUUAUGGAUUCAUUUAUAAAAAACCAAUUAGAUGCACAGUCUACUGGACAGUACCUAAAAAUCUUAGCAAAUACUAUAGAAAAUCUGCGCAAACGUGUACAGAAAACGGCCAUACAUAUUGCAGAAUAUAUUUUAGCAUGAAGGAAUAUUCUUCUGUGAAGUUGUUGAUUGAAAAACACGAUACAAUCGACGAUUCGGCGCUUAUUAGAAAACAAUUAUGCGAGUAUGACAAGCUAGUCGAUUAUUGUUUAUCGAUCAAAUGUCGUCAUGCAGUUAUUAGCGAAUAUUUUGGGUAUACAACAAUGCCUUGCGAAACGAACUGUGAUGUUUGCAAAGACAAGGAAAUGGCGAAUAUAAGAACUCUUAAGUUUAUUACGUAUUCCAAAAAUGUAGGAGUUAAAUACAGUUGUGACUCAAACGAGGAUGAUAAAAAGCAAUCGAUGGAAAUUUUAGAAGAUAAUUUGAAUAAAUUCGAAAUUUCCUGUAAAAAAGAACCUGCUGCAGACAGGCUCGAUGAAAAGGGGAUUGUGCAAUGUAACGAUAACUUGGCAAUGAAUAAGCAAAAACCGUCGUCCAGCGAAAGUAGUUCAGUAGGCGCGCAAUUAUUUGUAAAGGACUCUUCACAAACUUCCAUGAAGGAUACGAUAAAAUGUGUCAGACGCAUUUCAAACGUAAUGAAUGCGUGUAAAUUGAGAACAAUGCAGGUGGAGAAGCACACCGUAAUCAAUGGGGCGAUAUCGUUCGUACCGCCAUCGUGUGGUUCUAAGAAUAAGGUUAACAAAAAAUCAGCAGAAAGAAUAAGUAGCACUCGAGUUUCCAGCGAACGAAAGGAAUUGAAAAACGAGUCGAGGACCAAUUCUGGAGACGUAAACAGCGUUGGUAGCAAGCAGGAGGUUCGAAAGAGGGAUCGAAUUUCAGAGAGCAUUUCGGGUCGAGAAGAAAGAACGAAACCUGAAAAUGGACAUGACGAUGAUAGUAUGCGAAAGAUCGAGAAGAGGGAUCGAAUUUCAAAGAGCGAUUCUUGCGAUGUCAUUGUCAUCUUCGAGGCGAUAGAACAAACGAGAAAACGAAAAAAUUGUUUCGUUUCCAUGGACACGUAUUCCGAUGAGUUCAAGUCAAAAAGAAGGAAAUUGAGAACCGAAAAUAAAUCGAGCAGCGCGACACGGAUACAGAUGGUUAGAGGAACUUCCGAUCAGGAUAAACGCGUGGAACGCGUCAAGGAUAAUGCGGAUGAGAUCGCACCACGUGGCCAAUCGACGGUAGAGCAUUUGAUGGAGAAAUACAAGUUGAACAAAGAUUCGAUAACGUUGGUUCCACGUAAUGCAAAUGAGAUCCCGCUGCGUGGCCAAUCAACAGUAGAAUAUUUGAUGGAGAAAUACAAGUUGAGCAAAGAUUCUAUAACGUUGGUGCCGCGGAGGAAAUAAUUGCGGGACAAUGCAAUUAUUGUGAAAUUAAUAAGAACGUUUAUUCGAUUAUAGUUGCAGUUUUAUUUUUUGAACAUUUUUAAUAUUUAAUCAAUUUGGGCGAUGUUAAUGUGAGACAAUCGAAUGUACAGGGUGUCCCAAAAAUGUUGUAACACCUUGAAAGAGGUGAUUCGGGAGGUGAUUUAAAACAACUUUUUCCUUAGCGAAAAUGUUGCCCGAGGCUUCGUUGAGGAGAUAUUAACGGAAAACACUGACCAAUCAGAGCGCGAGUAUGCCGGUGGAGUGUCCGAGGUAGCGUAUGAGCGAAGCCUACGCCUACUGCGGGCGCUCCACCGGCAUUCUCGCGCUU
Molecule: RNA transcript, 3348 nt
Organism: Hylaeus anthracinus
Lineage: Eukaryota; Metazoa; Arthropoda; Insecta; Hymenoptera; Colletidae
Gene name: ATP-dependent DNA helicase Q5-like
Exons: 11
Source: RefSeq, a predicted model, not a curated record